Molecule: ribosomal RNA, 162 nt
Filed under: Meconopsis lancifolia
Lineage: Eukaryota; Viridiplantae; Streptophyta; Magnoliopsida; Ranunculales; Papaveraceae
Also listed under: 1 other name
Description: 5.8S ribosomal RNA
Rfam family: 5.8S ribosomal RNA
About the family: 5.8S ribosomal RNA (5.8S rRNA) is a component of the large subunit of the eukaryotic ribosome.
Source: RNAcentral
ACGACUCUCGGCAACGGAUAUCUCGGCUCUCGCAUCGAUGAAGAACGUAGCGAAAUGCGAUACUUGGUGUGAAUUGCAGAAUCCCGUGAACCAUCGAGUUUUUGAACGCAAGUUGCGCCUCAAGCCUUCGGGCCGAGGGCACGCUUGCCUGGGCGUCACGCA